GAGGGUAUAGCUCAGUAGUAGAGCACAUGCUUAGCAUUCAGGACAUCUUGAGUUCAAACCCCAGUAUCUCCA
This 72-nucleotide transfer RNA is filed under the name Camelus bactrianus (Bactrian camel). It matches the Rfam family "tRNA". From Rfam's summary of the family: Transfer RNA (tRNA) molecules are approximately 80 nucleotides in length. Their secondary structure includes four short double-helical elements and three loops (D, anti-codon, and T loops). RNAcentral also lists the same sequence under 2 other names. The record is from Rfam by way of RNAcentral. Lineage: Eukaryota; Metazoa; Chordata; Mammalia; Artiodactyla; Camelidae.